Molecule: non-coding RNA, 89 nt
Organism: Cladobotryum mycophilum
Lineage: Eukaryota; Fungi; Ascomycota; Sordariomycetes; Hypocreales; Hypocreaceae
Source: the annotation of a GenBank genome assembly
GCCCGCUUGGCUAAGCGGUAUAGCGUGUCACUAGUAAACCAAAAAUACCUGACAUGACAAGGUGAUCAGUUCGACUCUGAUAGUGGGCA